AUGCUCGCUUCGGCAGCACAUAUAUUAAAACUGGAAUGGUGCAGAGAAGAUUAGCAUGAUCCCUACGCAAGGAUGACACUCAAAUUCCUGAAGCAUUCCAUAUUUUU
Molecule: small nuclear RNA, 107 nt
Organism: Mesocricetus auratus (golden hamster)
Lineage: Eukaryota; Metazoa; Chordata; Mammalia; Rodentia; Cricetidae
Source: Ensembl